RNAcentral lists this long non-coding RNA (260 nucleotides) under Capsella rubella. Its description in RNAcentral is "long non-coding RNA (CRUB_LNC001670)". Lineage: Eukaryota; Viridiplantae; Streptophyta; Magnoliopsida; Brassicales; Brassicaceae. The record is from RNAcentral.
AAAUUUAGCUAUUGAAUCGGUCCAUGGCUAUGAUCUUUGGCCUUCACCUACAACUUACAAGACAACCAUGACUAAUGUUCAAGGAAGCGCUAGGCGUUAUUUAGGCGGUAACCCAACGCCUGGCGCCUAAAACGCUUAGUCGGAGCCUAGACGAUUCUAGGCGUUUUAGACGUUUACAACAUAAAACAUAUAUAAUAUAAUAUUAUAAAUAAAAUAAUAUAAAACUAUAUGUUCGAAAAAUAAAAAUAAUAAAUUAUAAA